AUGCAUAUCCCUGACACUGGACACACGGCUGAAGUGCAGGGCGGCAGGGACAGUGAGGUGGAGAAGAUGGGGCCAGACGUGGAUUGGCGGGGGGAGGCGACAGCCAGACCUCACUGUGGAGCAGAGUCCAGAGUGUCCUGGACUCCACUGGCUGAGCCACACUUGUCUGGGCAUCAGGACUAACAGUGCCUGGCCAUGCUCUCUGAUCAGAGCAGCUGGCCCGUGAGAAGCCUGUCCUGCUUCAUUCUUUAGUUGAGACUCUAGGCCCAGAGGGGGCAGUGGCUUGCCUCAGGCCAUACAGAGGUAAGUGGCAGGGAGGAGGCCAUUGCUCAGCUACUCUUUUUUUCCUUUUCUUUUUCUCUUUUGCGGGCGCCCCCUCCGCAUAUGGAAGCUCCUGGGGCCGGGAAUCGACUCUGAGCUGGAGCUUUGACCUACACUAUAGCUGCAGCAGUGCUGGCUCCUUAACCCACUCGUGCUGGGCCAGGGAUAGAACCGGCACCUCCAUACAGACAAGCCAGAUCCUUAACUACUGUGCCACAGUGGGAACUCUUGCUCAGCUCUUCUGACUCUAACUUGGGGGCUCUUCCCAGCACAUGGGUACUGUGUCACCCCCAACCUGCCCCCGACCCCUUCCCUCGCUUUGUUACCUCUGGGCUCUCACUUGAGCCCAAGACCCAUGGGAAAGACCCACAGUUCUGCUCUAUGUCACCAGGUGUUUGGUGCCAAAGAUGAAUCUUGGACCUGCUGAACGAGCCAGAGGUGCAGCAAACACAUCUUGGACCUUAGGAGAAGAUGCACUUCGGCUGAGAUGGAGUAGCUGGUUCAGACCCUGGUUCUUUGUGCUGAAGCCAUGUCAUGUGACCUCGCUGGUCCAGCUGGCACAUCUGUGAGAUGGGACUGUAGGAGGCUCCAGUGUGUGCACAGCAUCAGGGAAGUGGUAGCUACGAGUGCUGGUGUUAAACGAAGAGUCCCUGGGCUGAGUGGCAGGUGGGAGAUCCCACUGGCACAAUGUCCCAAAAGGAAAAGCAUCCAUCCAUCCAUCCAUCCAUCCAUCCAUCCGUCCGUCCAUCCGUCCGUCCAUUCACUAUGA
Molecule: long non-coding RNA, 1090 nt
Filed under: Sus scrofa (pig)
Lineage: Eukaryota; Metazoa; Chordata; Mammalia; Artiodactyla; Suidae
Description: lncRNA (ENSSSCG00050074817.1)
Source: RNAcentral